This 626-nucleotide ribosomal RNA is filed under the name uncultured Bacteroidales bacterium. RNAcentral's name for it is "bacterial SSU rRNA". It matches the Rfam family "Bacterial small subunit ribosomal RNA", at positions 104 to 729 of the family's 1533-position model. The record is from RNAcentral. Lineage: Bacteria; Pseudomonadati; Bacteroidota; Bacteroidia; Bacteroidales.
GGGUGCGUAACGCGUAUGUAACCUACCUAUAACAGGCGCAUAACACUGAGAAAUUGGUACUAAUUCCCCAUAAUAUUCGGAGAGGCAUCUCUCCGGGUUGAAAACUCCGGUGGUUAUAGAUGGACAUGCGUUGUAUUAGCUAGUUGGUGAGGUAACGGCUCACCAAGGCAACGAUACAUAGGGGGACUGAGAGGUUAACCCCCCACACUGGUACUGAGACACGGACCAGACUCCUACGGGAGGCAGCAGUGAGGAAUAUUGGUCAAUGGACGCAAGUCUGAACCAGCCAUGCCGCGUGCAGGAAGACGGCUCUAUGAGUUGUAAACUGCUUUUGUACGAGGGUAAACUCACCUACGUGUAGGUGACUGAAAGUAUCGUACGAAUAAGGAUCGGCUAACUCCGUGCCAGCAGCCGCGGUAAUACGGAGGAUUCAAGCGUUAUCCGGAUUUAUUGGGUUUAAAGGGUGCGUAGGCGGUUUGAUAAGUUAGAGGUGAAAUCCCGGGGCUUAACUCCGGAACUGCCUCUAAUACUGUUAGACUAGAGAGUAGUUGCGGUAGGCGGAAUGUAUGGUGUAGCGGUGAAAUGCUUAGAGAUCAUACAGAACACCGAUUGCGAAGGCAGCUUAC